RNAcentral lists this ribosomal RNA (404 nucleotides) under uncultured bacterium. RNAcentral describes it as "bacterial SSU rRNA". It matches the Rfam family "Bacterial small subunit ribosomal RNA", at positions 430 to 826 of the family's 1533-position model. The record is from RNAcentral.
GCACUUUAAGCAGUGAAGAAGACUCUGUGGUUAAUACCCACAGACGAUGACAUUAGCUGCAGAAUAAGCACCGGCUAACUCUGUGCCAGCAGCCGCGGUAAUACAGAGGGUGCAAGCGUUAAUCGGAAUUACUGGGCGUAAAGGGAGCGUAGGUGGCUCUAUAAGUCAGAUGUGAAAUCCCCGGGCUUAACCUGGGAACUGCAUCUGAUACUGUUAGGCUAGAGUAGGUGAGAGGAAGGUAGAAUUCCAGGUGUAGCGGUGAAAUGCGUAGAGAUCUGGAGGAAUACCGAUGGCGAAGGCAGCCUUCUGGCAUAAUACUGACACUGAGGCUCGAAAGCGUGGGUAGCAAACAGGAUUAGAUACCCUGGUAGUCCACGCCGUAAACGAUGUCUACUAGUCGUUGG